This 245-nucleotide ribosomal RNA is filed under the name uncultured Anaerococcus sp. RNAcentral's name for it is "partial 16S ribosomal RNA". It matches the Rfam family "Bacterial small subunit ribosomal RNA", at positions 796 to 1041 of the family's 1533-position model. Lineage: Bacteria; Bacillati; Bacillota; Tissierellia; Tissierellales; Peptoniphilaceae. The record is from RNAcentral.
CACGCCGUAAACGAUGAGUGUUAGGUGCCUGGAAUAAUUUGGGUACCGCAGCUAACGCAUUAAACACUCCGCCUGGGGAGUACGCACGCAAGUGUGAAACUCAAAGGAAUUGACGGGGACCCGCACAAGCAGCGGAGCAUGUGGUUUAAUUCGAAGCAACGCGAAGAACCUUACCAAGUCUUGACAUAUUUCGGAGGGAUUUAGAGAUAAAUUCUUAUGACUUCGGUCAACUGAAAUACAGGUGG